GGGUUGUGAGGUUAAGCGACUAAGCGUACACGGUGGAUGCCCUGGCAGUCAGAGGCGAUGAAGGACGUGCUAAUCUGCGAUAAGCGUCGGUAAGGUGAUAUGAACCGUUAUAACCGGCGAUUUCCGAAUGGGGAAACCCAGUGUGAUUCGUCACACUAUCAUUAACUGAAUCCAUAGGUUAAUGAGGCGAACCGGGGGAACUGAAACAUCUAAGUACCCCGAGGAAAAGAAAUCAACCGAGAUUCCCCCAGUAGCGGCGAGCGAACGGGGAGCAGCCCAGAGCCUGAAUCAGUGUGUGUGUUAGUGGAAGCGUCUGGAAAGGCGUGCGAUACAGGGUGACAGCCCCGUACACAAAAAUGCACAUACUGUGAGCUCGAUGAGUAGGGCGGGACACGUGGUAUCCUGUCUGAAUAUGGGGGGACCAUCCUCCAAGGCUAAAUACUCCUGACUGACCGAUAGUGAACCAGUACCGUGAGGGAAAGGCGAAAAGAACCCCGGCGAGGGGAGUGAAAAAGAACCUGAAACCGUGUACGUACAAGCAGUGGGAGCACGCUUAGGCGUGUGACUGCGUACCUUUUGUAUAAUGGGUCAGCGACUUAUAUUCUGUAGCAAGGUUAACCGAAUAGGGGAGCCGAAGGGAAACCGAGUCUUAACUGGGCGUUAAGUUGCAGGGUAUAGACCCGAAACCCGGUGAUCUAGCCAUGGGCAGGUUGAAGGUUGGGUAACACUAACUGGAGGACCGAACCGACUAAUGUUGAAAAAUUAGCGGAUGACUUGUGGCUGGGGGUGAAAGGCCAAUCAAACCGGGAGAUAGCUGGUUCUCCCCGAAAGCUAUUUAGGUAGCGCCUCGUGAAUUCAUCUCCGGGGGUAGAGCACUGUUUCGGCAAGGGGGUCAUCCCGACUUACCAACCCGAUGCAAACUGCGAAUACCGGAGAAUGUUAUCACGGGAGACACACGGCGGGUGCUAACGUCCGUCGUGAAGAGGGAAACAACCCAGACCGCCAGCUAAGGUCCCAAAGUCAUGGUUAAGUGGGAAACGAUGUGGGAAGGCCCAGACAGCCAGGAUGUUGGCUUAGAAGCAGCCAUCAUUUAAAGAAAGCGUAAUAGCUCACUGGUCGAGUCGGCCUGCGCGGAAGAUGUAACGGGGCUAAACCAUGCACCGAAGCUGCGGCAGCGACACUAUGUGUUGUUGGGUAGGGGAGCGUUCUGUAAGCCUGUGAAGGUGUACUGUGAGGUAUGCUGGAGGUAUCAGAAGUGCGAAUGCUGACAUAAGUAACGAUAAAGCGGGUGAAAAGCCCGCUCGCCGGAAGACCAAGGGUUCCUGUCCAACGUUAAUCGGGGCAGGGUGAGUCGACCCCUAAGGCGAGGCCGAAAGGCGUAGUCGAUGGGAAACAGGUUAAUAUUCCUGUACUUGGUGUUACUGCGAAGGGGGGACGGAGAAGGCUAUGUUGGCCGGGCGACGGUUGUCCCGGUUUAAGCGUGUAGGCUGGUUUUCCAGGCAAAUCCGGAAAAUCAAGGCUGAGGCGUGAUGACGAGGCACUACGGUGCUGAAGCAACAAAUGCCCUGCUUCCAGGAAAAGCCUCUAAGCAUCAGGUAACAUCAAAUCGUACCCCAAACCGACACAGGUGGUCAGGUAGAGAAUACCAAGGCGCUUGAGAGAACUCGGGUGAAGGAACUAGGCAAAAUGGUGCCGUAACUUCGGGAGAAGGCACGCUGAUAUGUAGGUGAAGUCCCUCGCGGAUGGAGCUGAAAUCAGUCGAAGAUACCAGCUGGCUGCAACUGUUUAUUAAAAACACAGCACUGUGCAAACACGAAAGUGGACGUAUACGGUGUGACGCCUGCCCGGUGCCGGAAGGUUAAUUGAUGGGGUCAGCGCAAGCGAAGCUCUUGAUCGAAGCCCCGGUAAACGGCGGCCGUAACUAUAACGGUCCUAAGGUAGCGAAAUUCCUUGUCGGGUAAGUUCCGACCUGCACGAAUGGCGUAAUGAUGGCCAGGCUGUCUCCACCCGAGACUCAGUGAAAUUGAACUCGCUGUGAAGAUGCAGUGUACCCGCGGCAAGACGGAAAGACCCCGUGAACCUUUACUAUAGCUUGACACUGAACAUUGAGCCUUGAUGUGUAGGAUAGGUGGGAGGCUUUGAAGUGUGGACGCCAGUCUGCAUGGAGCCGACCUUGAAAUACCACCCUUUAAUGUUUGAUGUUCUAACGUUGACCCGUAAUCCGGGUUGCGGACAGUGUCUGGUGGGUAGUUUGACUGGGGCGGUCUCCUCCUAAAGAGUAACGGAGGAGCACGAAGGUUGGCUAAUCCUGGUCGGACAUCAGGAGGUUAGUGCAAUGGCAUAAGCCAGCUUGACUGCGAGCGUGACGGCGCGAGCAGGUGCGAAAGCAGGUCAUAGUGAUCCGGUGGUUCUGAAUGGAAGGGCCAUCGCUCAACGGAUAAAAGGUACUCCGGGGAUAACAGGCUGAUACCGCCCAAGAGUUCAUAUCGACGGCGGUGUUUGGCACCUCGAUGUCGGCUCAUCACAUCCUGGGGCUGAAGUAGGUCCCAAGGGUAUGGCUGUUCGCCAUUUAAAGUGGUACGCGAGCUGGGUUUAGAACGUCGUGAGACAGUUCGGUCCCUAUCUGCCGUGGGCGCUGGAGAACUGAGGGGGGCUGCUCCUAGUACGAGAGGACCGGAGUGGACGCAUCACUGGUGUUCGGGUUGUCAUGCCAAUGGCACUGCCCGGUAGCUAAAUGCGGAAGAGAUAAGUGCUGAAAGCAUCUAAGCACGAAACUUGCCCCGAGAUGAGUUCUCCCUGACUCCUUGAGAGUCCUGAAGGAACGUUGAAGACGACGACGUUGAUAGGCCGGGUGUGUAAGCGCAGCGAUGCGUUGAGCUAACCGGUACUAAUGAACCGUGAGGCUUAACCUUACAACGCCGAAGGUGUUU
Molecule: ribosomal RNA, 2930 nt
Filed under: Escherichia coli
Lineage: Bacteria; Pseudomonadati; Pseudomonadota; Gammaproteobacteria; Enterobacterales; Enterobacteriaceae
Description: 23S ribosomal RNA
Rfam family: Bacterial large subunit ribosomal RNA
Source: RNAcentral